Long non-coding RNA from Musca domestica (house fly), 712 nucleotides. RefSeq lists it as uncharacterized. The record is from RefSeq and is a predicted model, not a curated record. NCBI's taxonomy places the organism in Eukaryota, Metazoa, Arthropoda, Insecta, Diptera, Muscidae. The transcript has 2 exons.
CAAAUUCAUAUUCAUAAUAAAUAUUUAGUUUUUCAAUAAAAAUUGUUGUAAAUAAUAUAAAACACAACCUUUACAAAAUUAUGGACCAUUUAAAAUGUAUAUCGUAAAAGAAUUCCUUUUGUUUCUUCAUGAUAGCUUUUGUGCGCUGACUAUCUUUCUAAUAAACCAAAUUUUAUUGGUAUUUCAAGAAGUUGUAAAAUUUUCCCUGAUACUAUUUAUGGUAUAUUCGAUUGGAAUGGCGAUUUUUGAUUUCUGGGAUGCUGUGCUCCAUGGAAGAUUACCAUCUUCAGGUGAUAUAUUUCCACAAAUUUCCCGUCCAAUACCAAUGAAUUAUGAAAGCGAUUAUGAAUUGGAUCAAAUUUUACGUAAUCCGCCACCGAGCCGAAACAGUUUAAUCGCUCAAUUGGAAAGAGACGUUGAAGAGGCAAACACAAAGAUGAAAGAACUUUUACCAUCCGACAUUGAAUUUGAGCAGUUCAUUAAUGCUGAAUUACGAAAUUCUCAAAUGUCCUUGGAUAUACAACCUAGAUCGUCAUAUUUUGAAAAUUUACCCAACGCUGUGAGGAAUAAAGGAAACGGACAAUUAGAUAAUGAAACAAGCGCAGAUGAUGGAAAUAAUCAAAUAAAAUAAUAUUGUUUCGACAAAGAGUCUUCACUACAAAAAUCAUAUUAAAAUUUGCGACUAGAAAUUCCAAGAUAACAUCCAGUAAAA